UACGGAGGAUCCGAGCGUUAUCCGGAUUUAUUGGGUUUAAAGGGAGCGUAGGCGGGUUGUUAAGUCAGUUGUGAAAGUUUGCGGCUCAACCGUAAAAUUGCAGUUGAUACUGGCAUCCUUGAGUACAGUAGAGGUAGGCGGAAUUCGUGGUGUAGCGGUGAAAUGCGUAGAUAUAAGGAAGAACACCAGUGGCGAAGGCGGAUGACUGGACGGCAACUGACGGUGAGGCGCGAAAGCGUGGGGAGCAAACAGG
Molecule: ribosomal RNA, 253 nt
Filed under: uncultured Bacteroides sp.
Lineage: Bacteria; Pseudomonadati; Bacteroidota; Bacteroidia; Bacteroidales; Bacteroidaceae
Description: partial 16S ribosomal RNA
Rfam family: Bacterial small subunit ribosomal RNA
Source: RNAcentral